This 72-nucleotide transfer RNA is filed under the name Camelus bactrianus (Bactrian camel). It matches the Rfam family "tRNA". Rfam says of the family: Transfer RNA (tRNA) molecules are approximately 80 nucleotides in length. Their secondary structure includes four short double-helical elements and three loops (D, anti-codon, and T loops). RNAcentral also lists the same sequence under 2 other names. Lineage: Eukaryota; Metazoa; Chordata; Mammalia; Artiodactyla; Camelidae. The record is from Rfam by way of RNAcentral.
AGGGAAAUAGCUCAGUGGUAGAGUGUGUGCUUAGCAUGCACAAGGUCCUGGGUUCAGUUCCCAGUAUCUCCA